CAGUAGCCGCGGUAAAACGUAGGGUGCGAGCGUUAAUCGGAAUUACUGGGCGUAAAGCGUGCGUAGGCGGUUUGUUAAGUCUGUUGUGAAAUCCCCGGGCUCAACCUGGGAAUGGCAAUGGAUACUGGCAAGCUAGAGUGUGUCAGAGGAUGGUGGAAUUCCCGGUGUAGCGGUGAAAUGCGUAGAGAUCGGGAGGAACAUCAGUGGCGAAGGCGGCCAUCUGGGACAACACUGACGCUGAGGCACGAAAGCGUGGGGAGCAAACAGGAUUAGAUACCCCAGUAGUCCCUGUCUCUUAUAC
RNAcentral lists this ribosomal RNA (301 nucleotides) under uncultured bacterium. RNAcentral describes it as "partial 16S ribosomal RNA". It matches the Rfam family "Bacterial small subunit ribosomal RNA", at positions 509 to 807 of the family's 1533-position model. The record is from RNAcentral.